RNAcentral lists this transfer RNA (72 nucleotides) under Fukomys damarensis (Damara mole-rat). It matches the Rfam family "tRNA". Rfam says of the family: Transfer RNA (tRNA) molecules are approximately 80 nucleotides in length. Their secondary structure includes four short double-helical elements and three loops (D, anti-codon, and T loops). The record is from Rfam by way of RNAcentral. Lineage: Eukaryota; Metazoa; Chordata; Mammalia; Rodentia; Bathyergidae.
UGCAGCAUAGCUCAGGGGUAGAGCACUUGCCUAGCAUGCCUGAGGCCCUGGGUUCAUUCCUCAGCCCUGCAA